This 497-nucleotide ribosomal RNA is filed under the name uncultured bacterium. Its description in RNAcentral is "partial 16S ribosomal RNA". It matches the Rfam family "Bacterial small subunit ribosomal RNA", at positions 30 to 523 of the family's 1533-position model. The record is from RNAcentral.
AUUGAACGCUGGCGGCAUGCCUUACACAUGCAAGUCGAACGGUAACAGGUCUUCGGAUGCUGACGAGUGGCGAACGGGUGAGUAAUACAUCGGAACGUGCCCGAUCGUGGGGGAUAACGAAGCGAAAGCUUUGCUAAUACCGCGUACGAUCUACGGAUGAAAGCAGGGGACCGCAAGGCCUUGCGCGAACGGAGCGGCCGAUGGCAGAUUAGGUAGUUGGUGAAAUAAAAGCUACCAAGCCGACGAUCUGUAGCUGGUCUGAGAGGACGACCAGCCACACUGGGACUGAGACACGGCCCAGACUCCUACGGGAGGCAGCAGUGGGGAAUUUUGGACAAUGGGCGAAAGCCUGAUCCAGCCAUGCCGCGUGCAGGAUGAAGGCCUUCGGGUUGUAAACUGCUUUUGUACGGAACGAAAAGACUCUGGUUAAUACCUGGGGUCCAUGACGGUACCGUAAGAAUAAGCACCGGCUAACUACGUGCCAGCCGCCGCAGUAA